Molecule: unclassified non-coding RNA, 240 nt
Filed under: Hevea brasiliensis (rubber tree)
Lineage: Eukaryota; Viridiplantae; Streptophyta; Magnoliopsida; Malpighiales; Euphorbiaceae
Source: RNAcentral
AUAACAGAGAAUUGGGAAAUAGGCUCUACUGCUAAGUGAAGGAAAUUAGCCACACGAGUUUGAAUAAAAUUGUGUGUGCUGCCAUUAUCGAGCAUAACUUGCACUGAUGAGCCCUGAACGUAACCAGUAAAACGGAGAGCAGAAGCAGCAUCACCACCAGCCAUAGCGUGGUAUGAGAUACUGGACGAAUGCAUCACCUCAAGCUGUUGAAGCUCCUCAGCCAACAUUUCAUCAGUCAAA